GUGUGUUGAAGUUAAAUUCUGUUAGUGCUGCACAAAAAGAAUCGUUAGUAAUAAGCCCAUGCAGUGAAGGAAGUGAACAAUUGUGGGACCGUAUUUGGGCCAAAAAUGGGUGUGGUACGGAAACCAAGAUAUGGCAAAAGUUCAACAUGAAACAUGGAUUAGAAUUUAAUGGGGGAUCAAAUCAAGUCUGGAAGUGUUACAGGAUGGAAGAGUCAGCCUACAGAUGAAAAAACACAGAGUGCAUUACCAUUAAGGUAUGAGGUAAAGUAAUAGAGUAUGCACAUUGUCUAAUGAGAAGUACCAUCUUGUGUUAAUAAAUCCAGUACAACAGCAAUCCUUUAUAGUUCUGUCACAGCUAGAAACCUCAAAUAAUUCUGCUUCUCUGUCUAAAGAACAACUUGUCCUUUACGUUCAGAGUGUUGGGGAAACUGGGUACUUAAAUGGCCCUAAAGAUGUUUUAAUUUUGCUGCCAUGGCAGAGAUGAACAUCAUACAUGGACUCUUUAGGUCUAAUCUACCAAAAAAAAUUUUAUCCAAUAGGAAAGGAUUUUCAUGUACUGGGAACACAACUAUCAACAAUGCAACAUUGUACAGGUGCUAGUUUAUCAUUCAAGAGCCUUAUACAAUGAUGUUAAUCUGCAAUUUGUAUGUCCUUCCCCAAGCUUCCACCAGAAGUUGAAUCUAUGAGUCAUGUAAGUUACAUGAUCAACAGUUGAUAUGUUUAACGGUGUUGUUUUUCUUUUCUCAAUAUAGGUUAAUAGUAACAUUGGAUCUGAAAAAAUUCUUGGUUGGGGCAAGACACUGAAUAAAUUGUAUUGAUUGGAUGGAUGACAUGACAUUUCUAUACUUAAUUCGGAUUCCCCAGACGGUAUUUGAUAUUAAAAAAAUUGAAGUGCAUAUCUGGGCUCCCUUCUUUUCUGAAGCCCCGUUUCCCCUUGACUCGUAAUAAGCCCGUAGGGGGUCAUGCCCCUACUGUACGGUAUAUAUAAAAACAACAUAUACCGAGGUUUGGAGGGCUCUGGCCGGAAA
Molecule: long non-coding RNA, 1028 nt
Organism: Daphnia carinata
Lineage: Eukaryota; Metazoa; Arthropoda; Branchiopoda; Diplostraca; Daphniidae
Exons: 3
Source: RefSeq, a predicted model, not a curated record